This 752-nucleotide ribosomal RNA is filed under the name uncultured bacterium. Its description in RNAcentral is "bacterial SSU rRNA". It matches the Rfam family "Bacterial small subunit ribosomal RNA", at positions 8 to 796 of the family's 1533-position model. The record is from RNAcentral.
AGAGUUUGAUCAUGGCUCAGAACGAACGCUGGCGGCAGGCCUAACACAUGCAAGUCGAACGAGAAGCCACCUUCGGGUGGUGGACAGUGGCAGACGGGUGAGUAACGCGUGGGAACGUGCCUUUCGGUUCGGGAUAACCCAGGGAAACUUGGGCUAAUACCGGAUACGCCCUUCGGGGGAAAGAUUCAUCGCCGAAAGAUCGGCCCGCGUCGGAUUAGCUUGUUGGUGGGGUAACGGCCUACCAAGGCGACGAUCCGUAGCUGGUCUGAGAGGAUGACCAGCCACACUGGGACUGAGACACGGCCCAGACUCCUACGGGAGGCAGCAGUGGGGAAUAUUGGACAAUGGGCGAAAGCCUGAUCCAGCCAUGCCGCGUGGGUGAAGAAGGCCCUAGGGUUGUAAACCCCUUUCAGCGGGGAAGAUAAUGACGGUACCCGCAGAAGAAGCCCCGGCUAACUCCGUGCCAGCAGCCGCGGUAAUACGAAGGGGGUUAGCGUUGCUCGGAAUCACUGGGCGUAAAGCGCACGUAGGCGGAUUGCUAAGUCAGGGGUGAAAUCCUGGAGCUCAACUCCAGAACUGCCCUUGAUACUGGCGACCUUGAGUCCGGGAGAGGUGAGUGGAACUGCGAGUGUAGAGGUGAAAUUCGUAGAUAUUCGCAAGAACACCAGUGGCGAAGGCGGCUCACUGGCCCGGUACUGACGCUGAGGUGCGAAAGCGUGGGGAGCAAACAGGAUUAGAUACCCUAGUAGUCC